GGGAACUACAAAUAGCUUUGCAAGAGGCUGAAAGGAGAUAUGAUUUGGCAAGGGCCGCUGAUUUGAGAUAUGGAGCAAUCCAAGAGGUAGAAUCUGCAAUAGCACGGAUUGAAGGGAACACUGAUGAGAAUCUAAUGUUGACCGAAACUGUUGGACCGGAACAAGUAGCAGAAGUGGUGAGCCGCUGGACAGGAAUACCUGUCACGAGGCUCGGCCAGAAUGACAAAGAGAGACUAGUCGGACUUGCUGAUAGAUUGCACAAGAGAGUUGUGGGGCAGAAUCAAGCUGUGGAUGCUGUUGCCG
RNAcentral lists this unclassified non-coding RNA (303 nucleotides) under Hevea brasiliensis (rubber tree). Lineage: Eukaryota; Viridiplantae; Streptophyta; Magnoliopsida; Malpighiales; Euphorbiaceae. The record is from RNAcentral.